This 28-nucleotide small RNA is filed under the name Bombyx mori (domestic silkworm). RNAcentral's name for it is "piRNA piR-bmo-1807886". The record is from RNAcentral. Lineage: Eukaryota; Metazoa; Arthropoda; Insecta; Lepidoptera; Bombycidae.
UGGUAAAAUAUUUGAUAAGGGCGUAGUA